UAUUUUUUUUUUUUUUUCAUUUUUCUUUUUUUAAAGGGGGAUGUAGAAAAAAUUAGUGAGAGUGAGGUGACUACAGGAUAUCUUCCAAUACUAUAUAUAUUUUUGAAACAUAAGAUUAGAAGGCGGGCGUCAUACAUGAAGUAAUGCUACAAAACCACACAGAUAGGGUAACUAACAGAAGGUAUUAAAAAAUGAAUAAAUGGUCUAAAGGAUCAAAGGUCAAGAAUUGAGAUUUGUGGUUGGAUAGGGCACAGGAAGAGGAAUAUAUAGGAAAAAAAACGAGGCUGGCAAGGUAGGAGGAGAGCUGAGGAAGGCCACUAAGUAAAAGAGAUGAUUCAAUAAAGAAAACCAAAUAGGUUACAUGUAAAACAAUGUCAAGAUGGGCCCCCUGGCUGGCUCAAUAAGCAUGUGACUCUUGAUCUCAGGAAUGUAAGUUCAAGCCCUAGAUUGGGUGUGGAGAUUACUUAAAAAAUAAGAGUCCUUAAAAGACAUGUUAAGAUGUAUGUGUUCAACACAAAAACUACCUUUUUGAUUAUAUAAAUCUCUGAGCAAAUAAUUAUACGGAUGGAGCAUUUAAAGUAACUCCUCGAUUUUAGUCCCUGAUUUCUUUGCCGUUACUUAGAUUCAUUCUGAGUUACCUAUACAAGUAGAGAGCACCUAAUGAGGACCAUCUAUAUAAAUUCCUUUCGUAUGUGUGAAGAUGAUGAAUUGUUUUUGAAGCCAUUGUUUUCUAAAUUAAAUGGCUUUAAUUCCUUAUGACUUAUAGCCUUUCCUCCCCCACGCCUUGCAUUGCUGUCUUAUGAACUCUCCCAAUUAUUAGAUAUUGAUUGUUCCUAGAAGAAAAAAUCUGAUUGUAGGGUCUGCCUGAAACUAUAGAAAUAGAGAAAACAUAUGCAAGCUCUGAACUCUGAACACAAUGAGAUGUUUAGACUUAUUAGUAAUUUUGGUCAGUAAGGAUAAACUUGUUUCAGUAAAUUUCAGGACCUCAUUUUCUGUAUUUUUGUUUUUUUACAUUGUUAAGGCUAAGCUUCUAUACUCUUUAGAAUGUUGACUGAAAGGCAAGAUGCAAUCCACAGCAUUGGGACUGCUGUCUGAUAGCAACCAAAAGAACAAUAUUCAUUGGCAUCAACAAGGAAAAUAAGAAAUAUGAAAUAAAAAGAAACAAUGGAAAUGCACUUGCUAUAAUCCUCAGUAUGCUAUGUUGCAGUGGGAAGUUAUUUUCAGAGAAACAAUAUUGUGAACAGAAUGCAUCCAGUUCUGCUUAUCUUGUUAGCUAUUUUAUUAUUUGUAUAGUAAGUUAAAGGUAAGAACAUUUCAAAGAUGAACAGAGACAUCAGGGCUUCAGGUCCCAAAUAUCAGAUGGAAGUAAUGCAGCCUGUGUCACAAAUUUUUUUCCAGCCUUCCCAAGUUUUACCUCAAGUCCUAGGAUGUUGGUAAUACAGUUACAACUAUGUUUCGAUACUUAUUUCUAUAUAAGAUUUUGGGCUUAUAUAGAAAUACAUUUGGUCUACAAUAGUGGAAGUUUUAUCCAUUUUAUUUUUUUAAGGCCAUCCAGGAAAGGUCUAAGCUAUUUCUCCAAUACCCUUUGAUAUCCUGAGGUACUAAAUGUUCCUUCAAGCUGCUCUUGCUUAUGCAGGGAAUGGCAACUGCCUAGAAGGAUCCAGCCUACCACAUAUUUUUAUUAUGGUCAUAUUUUCUUUUUUUUUUUUUAAGAUUUUUAUUUAUUUAUCCAUGAGAGACACAGAGAGAUGCAGAGAGAGAGGCAGAGACACUAGCAGAAGGAGAAGCAGGCUCCACGUAAGGACCCCAAUGUGGGACUUGAUCCAGGGUCUCCAGGAUCACGACCUGGGCUGAAGUCAGUGCUAAGCUGCUGAGCCACCUGGGAUGCCCUGGUCAUAUUCUCUAAUAAAGAGACUGGUAAACAAAGACAAUAUUGUUGAGCUUCUAACAGACAAGACACCUAAAUACAUUUUCAUAGCUGUUUUAUGACAUAAAGAUCAUUUUCAUUUUAUAUCUGAGUAAACAGACUCAGAGAAGUUAGUAACUGGCCAAAGGUCCUGUCACUUGUAAAAUGGCAGAAGUAGGAGUUGAAGCCAAGAUGAUCUACCUAUAAAUAUCUUGUUCUUUAGUUGGUCUAAUCAGAUAGAGAGGAGUUUAAGUUAAGACAAGGUAUGAACAUGCCUAUGAAGUCACUGGCAGCCAAACAUAAGGCUUCUGUAUAAAAGGGUUAGUCCAGCCAAACUUCUUCACAUUAUGAGACUAACCCUGUUCCCACAAAGCUGCCAUGCUACCCAAAGCACAGACAGUUCCCGUAGGAAGAGAGGGAUUAAAAUGCGGGUCCAUGAAGUUAAAACAAACCAAUCAACCAAAACCAAACAAACAGAUAAGCAUUACUCAUUCUUCCUGGUUUUUCUUUUUCCAAUU
This 2424-nucleotide long non-coding RNA is filed under the name Canis lupus familiaris (dog). Its description in RNAcentral is "lncRNA (ENSCAFG00000059019.1)". Lineage: Eukaryota; Metazoa; Chordata; Mammalia; Carnivora; Canidae. The record is from RNAcentral.